RNAcentral lists this ribosomal RNA (3114 nucleotides) under Triticum aestivum (bread wheat). Its description in RNAcentral is "partial small subunit ribosomal RNA". Lineage: Eukaryota; Viridiplantae; Streptophyta; Magnoliopsida; Poales; Poaceae. The record is from RNAcentral.
AUGAAGAAGAAGGGUGUUAGCAUUGUUGCAUUGUGGGAAAGAGCUUCAAAGGCAAAUAAAAGAACUUCCACAUCUACACCAAAUCCUCCUGAUGUUGAAGUUGAGAGCAGUAGCAUUCCUCCUGAUGUUGAGAGCAAUCUGCAACUGGCACUAGUGCAAGCACAUGAACCGGAUGAUAGUCACACAGAACCUGAGAGUGGCUCCCCAGCCCCAAUUAUAGAAGAUGAUGAAGCAAAUGAUGAAGUUCAAUUUGAAGUAGAUUUGGACGCACUUGAGUCAGAUCCCGGGAAACGGAUCCCCAUCUCUAGAUACAAUGUCAAUGACCAGGAUAAAGUUAGAAGGAGAUACAUCGAGUUGGGGGCAUGUCAACCAAAGAAACAUAAUUUUGAGUACAGAGACAUAAGUGGAUUACAACGUCGCUUUUGUCCUUCUUGGUUUAAGGAUUACAAGUGGCUUGAGUAUAGUGUGAACAAAGAGGCUGCUUUCUGCUUUGUUUGCUAUUUGUUCAAGGAUAAAACAAAAAGCCCCGGUGGAGAUUCAUUUGUUAAGGGUGGGUUUAGAAACUGGAACAUGAAAGCAAGAUUGACAAGGCAUGUUGGUGAUGUAAGUAGUGCUCACGCUGAAGCUCAAGAGAAGUAUGAUAUGUUCACUACACCACAAAUAUCAAUUCGGGAGUCUGUUGCUUCCAACACCUCACAAUACAAGGCUUUGUAUAAACAACGUUUGACAUGGACACUCAAGUGUGUGAGAUUUCUGUUGCGCCAAGGCUUGGCAUUUAGAGGACAUGAUGAAAGUGAAGACUCACUAAAUAAAGGAAAUUUCCUUGAGCUUCUAAAUUGGCUAGCAGGAAAUUUUGAAGAGGUUGACAGGGUUGUUCUCAAGAAUGCUCCACGGAACUGCAAGAUGACUCACCAUGAUAUACAACAAGAGGUGAUAAAAUGUUGUGCACAAGAGAGUACUAAACUAGUCAUUGAAGAACUUGAUGGUGGUCAUUUUGCAAUACUUGCAGAUGAGUCUAGUGAUGUGUAUCAGAAUGAACAGUUGGCUGCUUGCUUGCGUUAUGUUGAUAAGAAAGGAAGGGCGGUUGUAAGUUUUCUUGGUCUUGCUCAUGUUGAAGAUACUACCUCUCAGACACUAAAAGCUGCAAUUCAGAAAAUGCUUAUGGACUACAAUUUAACCUUUGCAAUGGUUCGUGGGCAAGGAUAUGAUGGAGCUAGUAACAUGAGAGGUAAUGCUAAUGGCCUGAAAAAACAGAUUAUGGAUGAGUCCCCUUCUGCCUACUAUGUUCAUUGUUUUGCCCAUCAACUACAGUUAACUCUUGUUGCUGUUGCUAAGGAGAGUGGUGAUUGUACUUGGUUCUUUCAGCAGCUUGCACACUUGUUAAAUGCUCUUGGCAUGUCUUGUAAAAAGAUGAGAAUGCUUCGGAUAGCUCAGGCUGAAGAACUCAUUAAUGCAUUGGAAUUGGAAGAAGUAGAAACAAGGAGUGGGCUGAAUCAGGAAAUGGGUUUGGGAAGGCCAUGUGAUACACGUUGGGGCUCUCACUUCAAAACUGUGAACCAUGUCAUCUCUAUGUAUGGUGCACUACGACGAGUCCUUCGCAAGAUUGGAGACGAGUACCAUGGUGCGGAGGCACAAGCGGCUCUAUCCAUAGAGACAAUAUUUCGAUCAUUUGAGUUUGUUUUCAUGGCACACUUGAUGCAAGAAAUAUUUGGAUACACAGAUGAGUUGUGUAGAGCUUUGCAAAAGCAAGACGAAGAUAUUGUUCAUGCUAUUGAGCUUAUUGGUGACACAAAGUAUUACUUGGAGGCUUUGAGGACCGAUGCUGGAUGGGAUGAUUUUCUCACAAAGGUCACAUCUUUUUGUACAAAGCAUAAGAUCAAAAUUGUUGAUAUGGAGGGUCCUUACUUUCCCGUUGGCCGGCCUAGAAGGGGUUUAUGUAAUGGUGUGAUCAAUUACCACCGCUUCAAGGUUGAUAUGUUUGUGGGUGUCAUUGAUAGGCAAAUCAGUGAGCUGAAUGGCAGAUUUGAUGAGGUAAACACGGAGCUACUUUCUUGCAUGGCAGCAUUCUGUCCACUUCAUCUAUUUGUUGCUUAUGACCAAGAUAAGUUGGUUAGGCUUGCUACAAAGUUUUAUGCUUCUGAUUUUACAAGUGAUGAACUGGCAAGACUUCCAUGGCAACUAAACAUAGAAUUUUUCAAUCAAGUGAAGGAUGAAGAUGUCAUCAAUCUCUUCCAAAAAGGCGACCGCAAACCUCCCAACCCUAGCCAGUUGCGCCUCCACAGAAAAGGAAUCGGUGGUGGAGAGGAUAGCUUGAACUCCGCAGGUCCUAGGCGUCGCCGCCGAAGAGAAAAACAACCCCAACAUGCCGAAGGGCACAUCAGCGCGGCGAGCACGCACGCGACUGCAAGUCUGCCCCCCGCCACCAAUCCCCUACCUUCUCUGCUUCGAGACGCACGCCACUCUCACCCGCGCUGUCGCUGGAUCAUGGAUGGCGGGGCAAAAGGGCCAAUACCUACGACACCAUGGCCCAUGUAUCUCUGUUGCCGACGCCUCAAAGACCAGCGUGGUGUUGUCCGGCAUCAGGUUGGCGCGGGAGAUCGCGUCGGCAGCCCGGGGAGUCGCGGCGUAGGAGGGCGAGCACGUGGGACCUGUAGCUCUGGUGCCGGACCUGCUCCUCCUGGAGGAAGGCCCGGAGUCGAGCCGCAGGAUUGCUUUCAACUUGAUCAACCUCUGCCCUUUUAUUCGUGGAAGAAGCAGCCGGUGAGGAUAACUGCUCUCCUUUUCAAUCUGCUAAUCGGCCUGCAGCGGUGCGACAACAACGGCGUGGCGCAGCCGACCACCACCAUGGAGAUGGGUGUGCAGGUCAUCGACGUGGGGUUGCUGCGCACGUAUGCCGAGGUGAUCAUCACGGGCGACGACUCGAGGAGGCCGACGAACAGGACGCCCUUAGACCGGCAUGGCGGGGGAGACUAUGUAGCACGCGUUGCUCUGGUUGCCCUGUAUCCUGGAUGCCGCCGACCACAGGGGCUCCGGCUGCACGUGUUUCCCGGCCGCCUCCGAGCAGGAGGGCUCUCGCGAUGUGUUGCUUUGUAUCCCGGCCACCGCGGACAGUGA